Dipodomys ordii (Ord's kangaroo rat) is the source of this 107-nucleotide small nuclear RNA. NCBI's taxonomy places the organism in Eukaryota, Metazoa, Chordata, Mammalia, Rodentia, Heteromyidae. The record is from Ensembl.
AUGCUUACUUCAACAGUACAUUUGCUGAAAUGGAAAUGAUAAAGAGAAAAUUAGUAUGGCCUUUGUGCAAGUAUGACAUGCGAAUUUGUGAAUAAAUUCAUAUUUUA